This 1719-nucleotide long non-coding RNA is filed under the name Felis catus (domestic cat). Its description in RNAcentral is "lncRNA (ENSFCAG00000045502.2)". Lineage: Eukaryota; Metazoa; Chordata; Mammalia; Carnivora; Felidae. The record is from RNAcentral.
UAGAGACUUCCUGUGUAUUCUCCUCAGUGGCCCCAUGGCUGAUGACCGAGGGGCUCUGGGUCGUCCUGAGGCCAAAGCCCUUGAGCUUUCCGAGUCGCGGGCCAUCAGUGAGAAGCACAUCUCACAGGCACGGACCCUCCCGGUUGUCACCCUUUGCAGGCUCAUUUCCUUUGACACCUCAUUUCGUUCCACCGCUGCCCGGCAGGCGGAGCAGGUGCGGUGAGGACCCCACUCCGCAGAGGGAGGAGCCCAGGCACUGUGAUGGUUGCAGACAGGUCCAACCAAUCUGGUCACACCGUGUUCACUGUAGCGGCCACGAAGGUGAUCCUGGAUCCCCGUCAAGAGAGAACUCGUCUUCCUCUGCAGGGGUGCAGUUGACGGACAGCCUCCAGCACAGCCCCCCGGGGCCCCUGCUCUUCCCGGGGAGGCCCAGCUGUGACUGCGCAGAGAGGGUGAGGGAUCUUUGCUGCAGAGCAGGGACUGUCCGCUUUGCACGGUGGUGCUGGUGGCCUCUCCCUGCCUGACCCUGCUUCCUUUCUUUUUAUCUUUUAUGGGCUUUUCCCUCCACCCACGUGAAACUUCGUUCACCCCCAACGCCAGCACCUGCUUCUCGGAGACCCCAACGGAUAGACUCACCCUUUAAACUCUGCACAUUAUGCACGUGACUUUGUUCUGGUUCGUUCCGAUUUCUUUUUUUAAUGGGAAGAUUACAUAAGAACGUUUUCAUACUCAGACUGGGACCUGAUCUACGUUUUCAAAAAAACUCCAAUCCCUGAGGUUGGAUGCUCCUGAAAUUGAACUUUCGGGACACCCCACCUCAUUCUCUCAGCAGAUCCUGCUACCCUUGAGAUCGUUUCUCCUUGAAAGCUUUUCCUGACCUCCUGACUUCAAUUUGCUAGACCCCCUUGUCCUAGCCUCCCCAGAUGAGUCCUUGGUGAAACUCAUCAAGCUCUCAGUUAGUUGUCCGAGGUCAGAUCCUUGCCCCUGAUCUCUUUGAAGUCACGAUCUAAAACUCUUGCUCACUGCUAAUCCCUCAGGACUCAGGCCAGUGCCUCGGCCACAGAAGCUGCUUAGUAAAUAGCUGACAGAGUGCUGAAUCUGCCAACCUAAAGGCUUGAAAAGCUGGCCCUUGACCAGAACUGAUGUAUCUGCCCCCAUUGUGUCCUCGGUCUUGGGGACAUCGCUCUUGCUUCCUGAUCACAGCACAGACCCGUAGAGUUGAGUGUUUAAAAAAACCCUAAGGGUUAUCCCAUCUGAUGUCAGACAGGUUGUGCGAUGUCCAACAAUCCAAGAUUUUCCAGUGUUAGCUUGACUACCAGGGGUGGAGACUACCUCGCAAGGCCACCACUGCCUCCUGGACAGCUCUGACCGUCACAUUUCCUACAGCUUUGGUCCACAUCAUAUUCACACCAUUUACUCUUUCCAUAAUGUGGACAACCUAAAUGGGCUCUCUGGCCCAAAGUGCUUUUGUUAAGGGGGCCGAAAGUUUUCUUCCUCCAAAUAGUCUCUCAAGUGGGGACCUAGCAAGAGUAAACUAGAAAUACUCCAGGGGCACCUUGGUGGCUCAGUCGUGUGAGCCUCUGACUCUCGGAUUUAGUUCAGGUCAGGUCAUGAUCUGGUGGUUCACGAGUUCAAGCCCUGCACCGGGCUCCUUCUCUCUCUCUCCCUACUCCCCUUUCUCAAAAUAAAUAAAUAAACUUAAAAAAAAAAAAAAGAGAG